ACGAAGGGUGCAAGCGUUACUCGGAAUUACUGGGCGUAAAGCGCGCGCAGGCGGUCCUUUAAGUCUGAUGUGAAAGCCCACGGCUCAACCGUGGAGGGUCAUUGGAAACUGGGGGACUUGAGUGCAGAAGAGGAAAGUGGAAUUCCACGUGUAGCGGUGAAAUGCGUAGAUAUCGAGAGGAACACCAGUGGCGAAGGCGAGUCCCUGGACAACUCCUGACGCUGAGGCACGAAAGCUAGGGGAGCAAACAGGA
RNAcentral lists this ribosomal RNA (253 nucleotides) under uncultured prokaryote. RNAcentral describes it as "partial 16S ribosomal RNA". It matches the Rfam family "Bacterial small subunit ribosomal RNA", at positions 525 to 777 of the family's 1533-position model. The record is from RNAcentral.